Long non-coding RNA from Solea senegalensis (Senegalese sole), 778 nucleotides. RefSeq lists it as uncharacterized. The record is from RefSeq and is a predicted model, not a curated record. Lineage: Eukaryota; Metazoa; Chordata; Actinopteri; Pleuronectiformes; Soleidae. The transcript has 2 exons.
AUGAUUUUUUGGCACUGAUUGCCAUGGCAACAGCAGUUAGUCACCUGUGUUUUUGAUGGUAUGGUUGCCAAAGGGGGUGACAUUUUAGAGCUGUAAUCCCAGUGCAGUAAAUCAUCUCCUGAUCAAAGCAGGACAAAUCUUUGUUGGCUGACAAUUGACCACCAAAAAGUCCAUAACAGGCUUUUUUCUACCAGCACUGUCAGUGAUUCUGCAUGGUGUUAACUCCUGCCCUCAAAAGCAGAGUGUACACCACAACCACUCUGACUCAGCAGUGAUGCAUAUGUACUCUGUGUGUGUUUCUUAUAGCGGCCACAAGAGGAGAAGUAUCCUGUGGGCCCCUGGUUACUCGCCCUGUUUGUAUUUGUUGUGUGUGGAUCAGCCAUUUUUCAGAUUAUUCAAAGCAUCCGUAUGGGGAUGUGAUUGAGAGGAAGCAUCCAGACAUCCCCUCCAGCCCUCACUGAGCCUGGUUUUUCCACACCCGCACACCCCUGAACCCCUCCAGAGACGGACACAGUGCUUCAGAGCCAGCAGACCUCAGAGAGAGAGAGAGAGAAGCCUCCGUGUUCAUCACCUCCUGCUCCUCCAGACGUGUCCCUCCCUCGAUCAGUGUUUAACAGUGUUGCAGUCUGUGGUACCGACAGCUUUUCUAUGAACAGUCUAAAAAAACCACGCUGGCUGGAGUACUUGUGCAUCUCAUUGCUUACUUUGGCACCUGUGUGUGUGAAGGAGUGUCUGUGUGAAAAGGUUCUUUUUUCGAAUAAAUGUUGAGCACACUUCA